AAAAAAAGGAGAUGUCACGUAAUCUCCAUUAAUCUCUCAUCUCCCACGCUGAACUUGCCAAAUUUUCUGUAGCUUUCCUUCUCUAGCACGGCAACAUUAGAUCUCCAUCUAAUCUCCAUCUAUUAUGUUGUAGCUUUCCUUCCCUAGCACGAUAAUGGCUAAUCUCCAUGUAAUUCCCCAUCUUCUACACUUUUCCGUCCAGAAUAUUCAAUCUUCCUCACCCUCCCGGCUUGGGUUCCAUCCAUGAAACCUUUGCAGGAAGGAGGAGAAGAUCGCAGAGGACGGCCCUAAUCCAGUCCACCAACACAUCUAAUUUUGUGGAUGCCAUGGAUGCAAGGACAUGCAAAUUUCUGUAGCCUUCCUUCUCUAGCACGGUAACACUUGAUCUGCUUCUAAUUCCUCAUUCUUAUGUUGUAGCUUUCUUUCCUUAAGUCGAUAAUGGUUAAUCUCAAUCUAGUUCCACAUCUUCUAUACCUUUAUGUGUAG
Molecule: long non-coding RNA, 486 nt
Filed under: Hordeum vulgare
Lineage: Eukaryota; Viridiplantae; Streptophyta; Magnoliopsida; Poales; Poaceae
Description: long non-coding RNA (HVUL_LNC018986)
Source: RNAcentral